Long non-coding RNA from Mesocricetus auratus (golden hamster), 5375 nucleotides. RefSeq lists it as uncharacterized. The record is from RefSeq and is a predicted model, not a curated record. NCBI's taxonomy places the organism in Eukaryota, Metazoa, Chordata, Mammalia, Rodentia, Cricetidae. The transcript is spliced from 2 exons.
CCAGGUUGAGGGCCCACCCGGGCGAAGUCAGACACACAACAACGCACACCCUCACGCACCUGCGCCAGCGCCACUAAUUACAAAUCCCAGCAGGCAGUGGGAUGCUGGGUGGGGCCGAGAGUCCGAUGUUUUCCUCCGGAAGUGGAGUCAGGCAGGCAUGUUGGCGAGCCUUUCGGGGAGGGGUGCCUGGCCGCAGACUAAAGACUGCUGGUACAGGGGACAGUGGGUGUUGACGAUGGCCCACUGUAGGCACACAGUGCGCGCCUCCUUGACUCGGACUCCGUUGCCCGGGCUAACUCCCUGGACAGGAGGGAGGAUCAGCCCAGACCCUGAAGCGGGACCGAGCUUGUUAGGGUCCUUGUAUGGCUUGCAAGACUCUGGAGAGGCCCGGGAAAGGCCCGGGUCCUCCUUGUCCCCCGAAUGCAGGUCCUGACCCUGGGCAUCAGGAUGAGAGGCUACUCUGGGGGUUGCCCAAAGAGCCUCUGAGAUGCUGAAGGGACUUACCCAAACCCUUCAGCGCAAACCGAGCUAGAUGGGGUGAGCGGAGCCGAGGCCCCCCACUUCCUCCACCUCCGCCUGGGACUGCACGCUCCUGACGUCUCUUCUCAGCUGAUUUCUGGCUCCCAGGUGGGGACUCAGGUUACACACCUGUAUUGGGAGCAGUGACACCGCAGUGGGCAGAAACACACGGACUUUCUGUCUCCGACCCCAUUUUUAGUUUUACACCUACUGUGCUGCUACAUGCCUGGUGGUCAAUGUAGAUCCAGAAGUCAGAGACUCUUAAGGUGUAGCCAUGACGAUGUUAAGAAAGAGACCACCGACUUUCUGGAAAUAUUCCAGCUAGUCUUGAAACAGUUAGAAAUGACUUCAGAAGGAACUCCGAGUAGAUUGCCUACAUUCUCCUGGUGAAAUCCGUAUUAAUUGGUCUCGGUGGCCCAUCUAGGCCUGGGAAUUUCUCCGAGAUUUCUUAGAGCUCUGAACCUUUCUGUUAAGAAAACUAACAUUUGGGAAAGCUGAGGCAGAAGGGUCAUGAGUUCAAGUCCAGCUUGGGCUACAUAAUGUGACUGUCAAAAAAAAAAAAAGGCAAAACAAAAAGCCAUCAUUUUAAAUAGGCUUUUUCCACUAGAGGUGAGAGGUAAACACCAUAAACUUUUGGGGACAGCCAUUGCUCCAGUCCCUAGUUGAAAAGCCCAUUCUCCCACUAUUAGAAUUUAUUUUUACUACUGAUUUUUUUUGUUGGGAGGCGUUAAUGUAGUUUUGUUUGGGGCAGUCAUAGAAAUUUUUGAGUCAGCCAGGCCAGUAAUUCCAGUUUCUCAGGAGGCUGAGGCAAGAAGAUUUCAAGUUUAAGGCCUGCCUGGAACACUUAGUGAAACCCUGCCUCAAAGGCAAACAUGCAAAAGAGAAAUAAAAAGGAUAAAAAAAAAUAAAUAAAAAAGGAAGGACAUGGUGCCCCUAGGUAUGGUAGAGGAGAAGGUUCACUGUAGAUAUGAGGGAGGAAACAGGAAGAGAGAUCCGGAAAGUCCAGAGUGAACAUGACCCUGAGCCAGGCAAGGGAGGAGAGGAGAGACAGGAGACCGAGAUGCCUGAAGGGCAGAGUUCUGGAGAAAUGCUUCUACCUGACUGGCCUUCCUUGGCUUGCUCAGCCUGCUUUCUCUCUUUUUUCCAUUUAUUUAUUUAUGUAUGUAUGUAUUUAUUUAUUUAUGUGUCUUGUGUAGAUGAGCAUUUCAUCUUCAUGUAUGUCUGCCCUCCCAGAAGAAGGAAUCUGAUCACACCAUAGAUGAAUGUGAGCCACCAUGUGGAUGCUGGAAUUGAAAUCAAGACUUCUGUGAGUGUAAAGGGUGCUCUUAACCAUGGAGUCUCCUCUCCAGUCCCCUCAGCAUCCUUUCUUAUAGACCUCUGGGCUGCCUGUCAGAGCGGCUACACCAACAGUGGGUUGUCCUCUCCUGUUUCAAUCAUGAGUUUCCUGUUGGAAAGCCAGUCUGAUGGGGACAAUCCCUCAUUUGUGUCUGCUUCUCAGAUGACUCUAGUUGGUGCUGAUAUAACAAUAACCAGCACACAGAUCUGGGAUUGUGUCAGUUGCCUUCUAUUGACCUUUGAAGCUUUAAGAUUGGUACUGCCAGUUGCUACCCCCAACAGCUCUUGGGCUUGUUUGUGUGUGAGAGCCACAUCAGUUAAGAUCAUUUGCUGCUCUUCCAGAAGAACCAAGUGCAAUCAUCAGUACCCACAGGGCACCUCACCCUGUUGCAACUCCAGUUCCUGAGACCAGACCUGUCUUCUGAACUCCUUAGUUGCCAGAUACACUUGGUGGACAUACAUAAAUGCAUGCACAUGUGGUUGACAUACAUACACACAUGUCUACAUUCCUAAUACUCAUGUAACAAACAUACAUAUAUACACAUGUGGUUCACAUACAUACACAUGUGGUUCACAUACAUACGCACGUGAAAUAGACACAUUGGUACACAUACAUAGUACACUAUUAGUGUACAUACAUACAUACAUGUAUGCUGAAGAUACAUUCAUAUGCAUAUGGUAAACAUACAUACUCUUGCGGUACACAUAAAUAUGUACACAUGUAUACACAAACAUACAACCAUCUGGGGUGUAUAUACAUAUACAAGUGGUGCACAUAUAGACAUACACUCAGGCAGAAUACUAACACACAUAAAAUAAGCCUGAGUUUUUAAACAAUGAGAAGAAAUUCUAUUUACUUUAUGUGAGUGAAUAUGUUUGCUUGCCCUUGUGUGCAUGUCUGUAUCUGUGGAGGUUAGAAGAGGUGAUAGGAUCCCAAUGAAGUGGUGUUACAGGCUGUAUAUAUUUGCUUGUGACAAACUCAGGUCCUCUGGAGGAGCAGUCAGUGCUCUAACUGCUGAGCUGUCUCUCCAUCUCCAAAAAUAAACAUUCAGGAGCACUGCUUCCUAUAGGCCGACACUUAAAGCUCUGCAUGUGAUUGAAUGGGGCUUGUUUGAGGGCAGGCUACUGUAGCUCACGCUGACCUGGAACUUCAUAUGUGGCUGAGACUGGCCAUGAAUCUAAAGCCUGCCUCAGUUUCCUGAGUACUGGAUUACGGGCAGCCUCACUAAGCCCUGGUAUCCUGUUACAAGGUUCAGAAAAUUAAACCAUACUAGAGAAGUGACUCAGCAGUGAAGAGUUUCUUGUUGUGGAAUAUUCCUAUGAUGUGUAAAGAUGCGAUACUUUAUGCUGCAUUUGUUUAACUAUGUAAAGGUGUGUUUCUUUAUGCUGCAUUUGUUUAACUAUGUAAAGGGGUGUUUCUUUAUGCUGCACUUGGUUAACUAUGUAAAGAGGUGUUGCUGUUUCACCUAGACUGCCUGAGGCACCUGAUUCUUGUAAUACAAAGCCGAACAGUCAAUAGCUAGGCGGGCCCAGGGAUAAAUAGGAGGAAGACUCUAGACUGUGGGAGAGAAUGAAGAAGAAGGGAGCGGUGAGGAAGAGAGGGACGUGUCGGGGACCAGAAGCCAGGCAUCUGCCAGCCAGCUAGGCAGAGUAGGACAAACAGAAGAAAGAAAGGUAAAAACCCAGAGUCAAAACAUACAUGAAGAGGCACAGCUUAAGUUCUAAGAGCCAGCCAGAAAUAAGCCUAAGACAAGGAUUCAUACCUAAGAGGAAGUCUCUGUGAUGGGAGAGUCCUGUGUAUAUGUCAAUAAAGCACUGUUGGCCAAUAGGGAAGCAAGAUAGGUGGGACUAUCAGUCUAGGAGGAUUCUAGGUAAAGUAGUGAAGAAGCUGGUCUCCAUGUGACUCCCGGGAGGAAUGGAGUUGGCAGGAGUGCGUCUUAGCAAAGAUAAGUUCUUGUAAAAUAUAUUUGAGUAAUUAUGGGUUAAUAAUCAAGUCAGACUUAGCCGAUCAGAAAGCAAGUAAACAGCCAGCAGCUGCAUAAUUAGUAUAGGGUCUCGUGUGUUAUUUAGGGGCUCAGACAGCUCGGCAGGGCCCAGGCAGCUGGCGGGGAAGACAACACAUAGGCUCUGUGUCAUGAUUUGAGAGCUGUCUGGUGGCCCUAGAGAAAGCCUGUUACAGCACAAGGUUGCUCUUCAAUUCCCAGCACCCACAAAGCAGCUCACAACUGCCUGUAUCAUCAGUUCCAGGGGACCCAAGGCCCUUUUCUGCCCUCCAGUGUGCAUUUCACACAUGUGGUGCACAAACGUACAUGCAGGCAAAACCCUCAUACACAUGGGAAUAAUAGGUAAAAUGAUUAAAAGAGAUUUUAAAAGAUAUAAAUGUAUCUACAUAAGCUUCCUUUCAUUUAAGGAUUUUAUUUCUUUCCUUUCUCUCCUUUUUUUCUGUGUAUUUACAGAUGUGUCUCUUCAUGUGUGUAGGGAUGAGGGUGAGAGGCAGGGGUGGUUGUGAAGGCCAGAGGACAAUAUGUAGUUCUGUGUAUCCAUCUUUAAAAUGUUUUCAAAAGGCACAUUCUUCCUGGCCCAGAACUGUUCAACAAAUAUGCCAGGCUGGCUGGCCAGGGAGUCCCAGGGUUCUGCUCUGCCUUCCUAGUGCUUGAAUUACAAGCGCCACAUCACCUCACUUUAUUAAAAAUGUCCUAGAACUUGCUCUGUAGACCAGGCUGGCCUGGAACUCACAGAGAUCUACGUGGCUCUGCCUCCCAAGGGCUGGGAUUAAAGGUGUGCGCCCCCAACACCCGGCAUGACUCUUCAUCUUGCAAGGAAAAUACAGACUGGGAAGUGAGAACUUUCAGGGACAGAGGUGCUCAGCACUAGGAGUUGCCUGACUAGUGGGUGGGACAAAACAUCCACACACAUGUAAACAAAUCAAUUACAAUAAAACAAAAGACUAGAUUACCUUUAUAUGUUUAGCUGUGUGUUUUUCUCCCUCCAGGGAUACGAUUCAUCCAUGUUUCCCUUACACCUAGCAAAAUCUCAUGGAGGCAGGCCACAAUAAGUGUUCAAAGACAAGCAGGCAGACCUUGUUGAGUGGUGAGCAUCCCAGGCUGGGCUAAGCUGGAACCCUGAAUGUGGGGGGGGAAGGGUGCUGGGAUGAAAAGGACAGGGACCCUGUUCUCAUCAGUCCUACAGUGUAUGUGGUCUUCUGAUGCCUUGUCUUCUCUGACCAGCCUAUUAGAUGCCACCAUGCUGGGGCCUUUCUUCUUGCCUGGUGAUUUCUGUAGUUAGAAAGUAGCAAUACAUGGAGGAAUGUGUGAGCAACUCAAGGGUGAGAUCCAGGUUUCUGUUCCCCUUUGGAGGAGAACAGGAUCCAUCAAGAUCAAUUCUCAUUUCUGAAUAUCUAUCCCACAAAUAUAAGGACACCCACACUUGUAAAAAAAUGUUUUCUUGGAAGCAUGCCAGCCUUCUGAUCUUCCCGCUUGUGUGUAAGUUCUUUCUCUGGUAAAUAAAUAUAUCAAUUUCCA